CACGUAGUUAGCCGGGGCUUCUUGUCCAGGUACUGUCAUUUUCUUCCCUGCUGACAGGGCUUUACGCACCGGAGUGCUUCCUCACCCACGCGGCAUUGCUGCAUCAGGGUUCCCCCCAUUGUGCAAUAUUCCCCACUGCUGCCUCCCGCAGGAGUCUGGGCCGUGUCUCAGUCCCAAUGUGGCCGUCCACUCUCUCAAGCCGGCUACUGAUCGUUGUCUUGGUAGGCCGUUACCCUGCCAACUAACUAAUCAGACGCGGGCCCAUCCUGUACCACCGUGGUUUUCCCUGCUGUGCCAUGCGGCACAGCAGGCUUAUGCGGUAUUAGCAGCCAUUUCUGGCUGUUGUCCCCCGGUACAGGGCAGGUUGCCCACGGCGUUACUCACCCCGUCCGCCACUAGGUUUAUAUAUCCUUUCCCCUCCGGGAGUACGUUUCCCGUCAAUUACUAAAACCCCCGUUUCGAACUUUGCAUUGUGUUAGGCAUGCCGCCAGCGUUUCAUUCCCUGACGCCAGGACUCAAA
This 520-nucleotide ribosomal RNA is filed under the name uncultured Lachnospiraceae bacterium. RNAcentral describes it as "partial 16S ribosomal RNA". The record is from RNAcentral. Lineage: Bacteria; Bacillati; Bacillota; Clostridia; Lachnospirales; Lachnospiraceae.